This 1454-nucleotide ribosomal RNA is filed under the name Sporolactobacillus sp. RNAcentral describes it as "bacterial SSU rRNA". Lineage: Bacteria; Bacillati; Bacillota; Bacilli; Caryophanales; Sporolactobacillaceae. The record is from RNAcentral.
GCGUGGGGGGGGGCUAUACAUGCAGUCGUGCGCACGGAAGGGAGCUUGCUCCCGGAAGUGAGCGGCGGAUGGGUGAGUAACACGUGGGCAACCUGCCUGAAAGACGGGGAUAACUCCGGGAAACGGGAGCUAAUACCGGAUAGGGCUCCGACACCGCCUGGUGUCGGAGGGAAAGAUGGUUUCGGCCAUCGCUUUCAGAGGGGCCCGCGGUGCAUUAGCUGGUUGGCGGGGCAACGGCCCACCAAGGCAACGAUGCAUAGCCGACCUGAGAGGGUGAUCGGCCACAUUGGGACUGAGACACGGCCCAAACUCCUACGGGAGGCAGCAGUAGGGAAUCUUCCGCAAUGGACGCAAGUCUGACGGAGCAACGCCGCGUGAGCGAAGAAGGUUUUCGGAUCGUAAAGCUCUGUUGCCGGAGAAGAACGGGAGGGAGAGGCAAUGCUCCCUUCGUGACGGUAUCCGGCCAGAAAGCCACGGCUAACUACGUGCCAGCAGCCGCGGUAAUACGUAGGUGGCAAGCGUUGUCCGGGAAUUAUUGGGCGUAAAGCGCGCGCAGGCGGCUUCUUAAGUCUGAUGUGAAAGGCUGCGGCUCAACCGCAGACGGUCAUUGGAAACUGGGGAGCUUGAGGGCAGAAGAGGAGAGUAGAAUUCCACGUGUAGCGGUGAAAUGCGUAGAGAUGUGGAGGAAUACCGGUGGCGAAGGCGGCUCUCUGGUCUGCAGCUGACGCUGAGGCGCGAAAGCGUGGGGAGCAAACAGGAUUAGAUACCCUGGUAGUCCACGCCGUAAACGAUGAAUGCUAGGUGUUAGGGGGGUCCAACCCCUUAGUGCUGAAGUCAACACAUUAAGCAUUCCGCCUGGGGAGUACGACCGCAAGGUUGAAACUCAAAGGAAUUGACGGGGGCCCGCACAAGCAGUGGAGCAUGUGGUUUAAUUCGAAGCAACGCGAAGAACCUUACCAGGUCUUGACAUCCUCCGACCGCCUGAGAGAUCAGGCUUUCCYCUUCGGGGGACGGAGUGACAGGUGKKSMRUGGUUGUCGUCAGCUCGUGUCGUGAGAUGUUGGGUUAAGUCCCGCAACGAGCGCAACCCUUGAUCCUAGUUGCCAGCAUUGAGUUGGGCACUCUAGGGUGACUGCCGGUGACAAACCGGAGGAAGGUGGGGAUGACGUCAAAUCAUCAUGCCCCUUAUGAUCUGGGCUACACACGUGCUACAAUGGGCGGUACAAAGGGCCGCGAGACCGCGAGGUUGAGCGAAUCCCGGAAAGCCGCCCCCAGUUCGGAUUGCAGGCUGCAACCCGCCUGCAUGAAGCCGGAAUUGCUAGUAAUCGCGGAUCAGCAUGCCGCGGUGAAUCCGUUCCCGGGCCUUGUACACACCGCCCGUCACACCAUGAGAGCGGGUAACACCCGAAGUCGGUGGGAGAACCCUUUGGGGACUCAGCCGCCGAAGGGAGCCAU